RNAcentral lists this ribosomal RNA (508 nucleotides) under Calothrix sp. NTMS08. RNAcentral describes it as "bacterial SSU rRNA". It matches the Rfam family "Bacterial small subunit ribosomal RNA", at positions 123 to 662 of the family's 1533-position model. Lineage: Bacteria; Bacillati; Cyanobacteriota; Cyanophyceae; Nostocales; Calotrichaceae. The record is from RNAcentral.
AAUCCGUUUUCAAGUUCUGGGAAAACCAGUUCAGAAUGACUGCUAAUACCAGGAUGACACUUAUGGUGAAAGAUUAAUUGCCUGAGGGUGAGCUCGCGUCAGAUUAGCUAGUAGGUGGUGUAAGGGACUACCUAGGCACUGAUAUGUAGCUGGUUUGAGAGGAUGAUCAGCCACAUUGGAAGUGAGACACGGUCCAGACUCCUACGGGAGGCAGCAGUGGGGAAUUUUCCGCAAUGGGCCGAAAGCUUGACGGAGCAAUACCGCCUGAGGGAUGAAGGCUUUUGGGUCGUAAACCUCUUUUAUUAGGGAAGAAAUAGACGGUACUUAAUGAAUAAGCAUCGGCUAACUCCGUGCCAGCAGACGCGGUAAUCCGGAGGAUGCAAGCGUUCUUCGGAAUUUUUGCCCGUAAAGCAAACUUCCCCGGUUUUGCAACUCUGAGGUUUAAGCGCCAGGCUUAACUUCCUAAAGGCAUUGGAAACCAUUCAACCCGAGUACGUUACAUGCCCAG